GACGAACGCUGGCGGCGUGCUUAACACAUGCAAGUCGAACGGUGAAGCUCCAGCUUGCUGGAGUGGAUCAGUGGCGAACGGGUGAGUAACACGUGAGCAACCUGCCCCUGACUCUGGAAUAAGCGCUGGAAACGGCGUCUAAUACUGGAUACGAGAAGGGUCCGCAUGGGCACUUUCUGGAAAGUUUUUCGGUUGGGGAUGGGCUCGCGGCCUAUCAGCUUGUUGGUGAGGUAAUGGCUCACCAAGGCGACGACGGGUAGCCGGCCUGAGAGGGCGACCGGCCACACUGGGACUGAGACACGGCCCAGACUCCUACGGGAGGCAGCAGUGGGGAAUAUUGCACAAUGGGCGAAAGCCUGAUGCAGCGACGCCGCGUGAGGGAUGACGGCCUUCGGGUUGUAAACCUCUUUCAGCAGGGAAGAAGCGAAAGUGACGGUACCUGCAGAAGAAGCACCGGCUAACUACGG
This 467-nucleotide ribosomal RNA is filed under the name uncultured bacterium. RNAcentral's name for it is "partial 16S ribosomal RNA". It matches the Rfam family "Bacterial small subunit ribosomal RNA", at positions 28 to 506 of the family's 1533-position model. The record is from RNAcentral.